GACGAACGCUGGCGGCGUGCCUAAUACAUGCAAGUAGGACGCAGUUGCGAACGGGUGAGUAACGCGUAGGUAACUACCUAUUAGAGGGGGAUAACUAUUGGAAACGAUAGCUCAUACCGCAUACUAGUAGAUGGACCUGCGUUGUAUUAGCUAGUAGGUAGGGUAAAAGCCUCCCUAGGCAAAGAGACAUAGCCUCCCGUGGAGGGUGAUCGGCCACAAUUGGACUGGGGCACGGCCCAGACUCCUUAGGGAGGCAGCAGGAGGGAAUCUUCGGCAAUGGGGGGAACCCUGACCGAGCAACGCCGCGUUAGUGAAGAAAGUUUUCGGAGCGUAAAGCUCUGUUGUUAAGGAAGCGGUACUUAACCAGAAAGGGACGGCUAACUACGUGCCAGCAGCCGCGGUAAUAC
Molecule: ribosomal RNA, 407 nt
Filed under: uncultured bacterium
Lineage: Bacteria
Description: partial 16S ribosomal RNA
Rfam family: Bacterial small subunit ribosomal RNA
Source: RNAcentral